This 547-nucleotide ribosomal RNA is filed under the name uncultured bacterium. RNAcentral describes it as "bacterial SSU rRNA". It matches the Rfam family "Bacterial small subunit ribosomal RNA", at positions 356 to 896 of the family's 1533-position model. The record is from RNAcentral.
AGGGAAUCUUCCGCAAUGGGCGAAAGCCUGACGGAGCAACGCCGCGUGAGUGAAGAAGGAUUUCGGUUCGUAAAGCUCUGUUGUUAGGGAAGAAUGAUUGUAUAGUAACUAUAUACAGUAGAGACGGUACCUAACCAGAAAGCCACGGCUAACUACGUGCCAGCAGCCGCGGUAAUACGUAGGUGGCAAGCGUUGUCCGGAAUUAUUGGGCGUAAAGCGCGCGCAGGUGGUUUAAUAAGUCUGAUGUGAAAGCCCACGGCUCAACCGUGGAGGGUCAUUGGAAACUGUUAAACUUGAGUGCAGGAGAGAAAAGUGGAAUUCCUAGUGUAGCGGUGAAAUGCGUAGAGAUUAGGAGGAACACCAGUGGCGAAGGCGGCUUUUUGGCCUGUAACUGACACUGAGGCGCGAAAGCGUGGGGAGCAAACAGGAUUAGAUACCCUGGUAGUCCACGCCGUAAACGAUGAGUGCUAAGUGUUGGUCUCAUAAGAGAUCAGUGCUGCAGCUAACGCAUUAAGCACUCCGCCUGGGGAGUACGACCGCAAGGUUG